RNAcentral lists this ribosomal RNA (1054 nucleotides) under Brevundimonas nasdae. RNAcentral describes it as "bacterial SSU rRNA". It matches the Rfam family "Bacterial small subunit ribosomal RNA", at positions 42 to 1137 of the family's 1533-position model. The record is from RNAcentral. Lineage: Bacteria; Pseudomonadati; Pseudomonadota; Alphaproteobacteria; Caulobacterales; Caulobacteraceae.
GCAUGCGCAGCUACCAUGCAGUCGACGAACUCUUCGGAGUUAGUGGCGGACGGGUGAGUAACACGUGGGAACGUGCCUUUAGGUUCGGAAUAACUCAGGGAAACUUGUGCUAAUACCGAAUGUGCCCUUCGGGGGAAAGAUUUAUCGCCUUUAGAGCGGCCCGCGUCUGAUUAGCUAGUUGGUGAGGUAAAGGCUCACCAAGGCGACGAUCAGUAGCUGGUCUGAGAGGAUGAUCAGCCACAUUGGGACUGAGACACGGCCCAAACUCCUACGGGAGGCAGCAGUGGGGAAUCUUGCGCAAUGGGCGAAAGCCUGACGCAGCCAUGCCGCGUGAAUGAUGAAGGUCUUAGGAUUGUAAAAUUCUUUCACCGGGGACGAUAAUGACGGUACCCGGAGAAGAAGCCCCGGCUAACUUCGUGCCAGCAGCCGCGGUAAUACGAAGGGGGCUAGCGUUGCUCGGAAUUACUGGGCGUAAAGGGAGCGUAGGCGGACAUUUAAGUCAGGGGUGAAAUCCCGGGGCUCAACCUCGGAAUUGCCUUUGAUACUGGGUGUCUUGAGUAUGAGAGAGGUGUGUGGAACUCCGAGUGUAGAGGUGAAAUUCGUAGAUAUUCGGAAGAACACCAGUGGCGAAGGCGACACACUGGCUCAUUACUGACGCUGAGGCUCGAAAGCGUGGGGAGCAAACAGGAUUAGAUACCCUGGUAGUCCACGCCGUAAACGAUGAUUGCUAGUUGUCGGGAUGCAUGCAUUUCGGUGACGCAGCUAACGCAUUAAGCAAUCCGCCUGGGGAGUACGGUCGCAAGAUUAAAACUCAAAGGAAUUGACGGGGGCCCGCACAAGCGGUGGGAGCAUGUGGGUUUAAUUCGAAGCAACGCGCAGAACCUUACCACCUUUUGACAUGCCUGGACCGCCAGAGAGAUCUGGCUUUCCCUUCGGGGACUAGGACACAGGUGCUGCAUGGCUGUCGUCAGCUCGUGUCGUGAGAUGUUGGGGUUAAGUCCCCGCAACGAGCGCAACCCCUCGGCCAUUAGUUGCCAUCAAUUUAGGUUGGGGA